This 911-nucleotide ribosomal RNA is filed under the name Lacticaseibacillus paracasei subsp. paracasei. RNAcentral describes it as "bacterial SSU rRNA". It matches the Rfam family "Bacterial small subunit ribosomal RNA", at positions 1 to 877 of the family's 1533-position model. Lineage: Bacteria; Bacillati; Bacillota; Bacilli; Lactobacillales; Lactobacillaceae. The record is from RNAcentral.
UUUAAAAAUUUUUUUUUUCUGCUCAGGAUGAACGCUGGCGGCGUGCUAAUACAUGCAAGUCGAACGAGUUCUCGUUGAUGAUCGGUGCUUGCACCGAGAUUCAACAUGGAACGAGUGGCGGACGGGUGAGUAACACGUGGGUAACCUGCCCUUAAGUGGGGGAUAACAUUUGGAAACAGAUGCUAAUACCGCAUAGAUCCAAGAACCGCAUGGUUCUUGGCUGAAAGAUGGCGUAAGCUAUCGCUUUUGGAUGGACCCGCGGCGUAUUAGCUAGUUGGUGAGGUAAUGGCUCACCAAGGCGAUGAUACGUAGCCGAACUGAGAGGUUGAUCGGCCACAUUGGGACUGAGACACGGCCCAAACUCCUACGGGAGGCAGCAGUAGGGAAUCUUCCACAAUGGACGCAAGUCUGAUGGAGCAACGCCGCGUGAGUGAAGAAGGCUUUCGGGUCGUAAAACUCUGUUGUUGGAGAAGAAUGGUCGGCAGAGUAACUGUUGUCGGCGUGACGGUAUCCAACCAGAAAGCCACGGCUAACUACGUGCCAGCAGCCGCGGUAAUACGUAGGUGGCAAGCGUUAUCCGGAUUUAUUGGGCGUAAAGCGAGCGCAGGCGGUUUUUUAAGUCUGAUGUGAAAGCCCUCGGCUUAACCGAGGAAGCGCAUCGGAAACUGGGAAACUUGAGUGCAGAAGAGGACAGUGGAACUCCAUGUGUAGCGGUGAAAUGCGUAGAUAUAUGGAAGAACACCAGUGGCGAAGGCGGCUGUCUGGUCUGUAACUGACGCUGAGGCUCGAAAGCAUGGGUAGCGAACAGGAUUAGAUACCCUGGUAGUCCAUGCCGUAAACGAUGAAUGCUAGGUGUUGGAGGGUUUCCGCCCUUCAGUGCCGCAGCUAACGCAUUUAAGCAUCCGCCCUGG